This 494-nucleotide ribosomal RNA is filed under the name uncultured bacterium. RNAcentral's name for it is "partial 16S ribosomal RNA". It matches the Rfam family "Bacterial small subunit ribosomal RNA", at positions 28 to 507 of the family's 1533-position model. The record is from RNAcentral.
GACGAACGCUGGCGGCGUGCUUAACACAUGCAAGUCGAACGGUGAAGCGCCUUCCUUUUUGGUGGGUGUGGAUGAGUGGCGAACGGGUGAGUAACACGUGAGUAACCUGCCCCCUUCUUCUGGAUAACCGCAUGAAAGUGUGGCUAAUACGGGAUAUUCUGGGUCUGUCGCAUGAUGGGUCUGGGAAAGAUAUUGUUUCGGUGGGGGAUGGGCUCGCGGCCUAUCAGCUUGUUGGUGGGGUGAUGGCCUACCAAGGCGGUGACGGGUAGCCGGCCUGAGAGGGUGGACGGUCACACUGGGACUGAGACACGGCCCAGACUCCUACGGGAGGCAGCAGUGGGGAAUAUUGCACAGUGGGCGCAAGCCUGAUGCAGCGACGCGGCGGGAGGGAUGGAGGCCUUCGGGUUGUGAACCUCUUUCGCCAGUGAAGCGGGCCUGCCUCGUUUGUGGGUGGGUUGACGGUAGCUGGAUAAGAAGCGCCGGCUAACUACGUG